Molecule: ribosomal RNA, 496 nt
Filed under: uncultured bacterium
Lineage: Bacteria
Description: partial 16S ribosomal RNA
Rfam family: Bacterial small subunit ribosomal RNA
Source: RNAcentral
GAUGAACGCUGGCGGCGUGCCUAAUACAUGCAAGUCGAGCGAACAGACGGGGAGCUUGCUCCUCUGACGUUAGCGGCGGACGGGUGAGUAACACGUGGAUAACCUACCUAUAAGACUGGGAUAACUUCGGGAAACCGGAGCUAAUACCGGAUAAUAUAUUGAACCGCAUGGUUCAAUAGUGAAAGACGGUUUUGCUGUCACUUAUAGAUGGAUCCGCGCCGCAUUAGCUAGUUGGUAAGGUAACGGCUUACCAAGGCAACGAUGCGUAGCCGACCUGAGAGGGUGAUCGGCCACACUGGAACUGAGACACGGUCCAGACUCCUACGGGAGGCAGCAGUAGGGAAUCUUCCGCAAUGGGCGAAAGCUUGACGGAGCAACGCCGCGUAGUGAUGAAGGUCUUCGGAUCGUAAAACUCUGUUAUUAGGGAAGAACAAAUGUGUAAGUAACUAUGCACGUCUUGACGGUACCUAAUCAGAAAGCCACGGCUAACUACGUG